GCAUGGUUUAGUGGUAAAGCAUCUGCUUGGCAUGCAGAAGUUCUCAAGUUCAGUCCCUGGCAACUGAAGUU
This 71-nucleotide transfer RNA is filed under the name Sphaerodactylus townsendi. RNAcentral describes it as "tRNA-Ala". The record is from RNAcentral. Lineage: Eukaryota; Metazoa; Chordata; Lepidosauria; Squamata; Sphaerodactylidae.